This is a long non-coding RNA of Peromyscus eremicus (cactus mouse), 612 nucleotides long. RefSeq lists it as uncharacterized. NCBI's taxonomy places the organism in Eukaryota, Metazoa, Chordata, Mammalia, Rodentia, Cricetidae. The transcript is spliced from 3 exons. The record is from RefSeq and is a predicted model, not a curated record.
GGUGAUGUUAGCUGAGAUGGAGGUGAAGCGGGGUCCAAAGCAACAUCUACGAAGUCCACCUAGGAGAGAAAAGGCUGAAGAAGCAGAGGUGUCUCCUCUGGACAGGCUCUGGGCAUACAACAUAUCAUGACCACAUUUUCAGUCAUCUGAGUGUAUUUGGCUCCCAGUGUUACUCUGGGUCUGUUUCUACAAGUCAAUUUUUCUUUUUAUUUUGCCUCAUAUUUCUCACAUUUCUGGAAGUUGAGCUCCCUUUCGACAUGUCCUUGUGUAAUUCAAAGACAUCAAGCUCCCUGCUUGUUUAGAAAGAUCUCAGAGACUGCAACUGUUCCCUAGACAGAGCCCGCUAGCAUCCGAUUGGACUAAGAGAUGCUAAUUGGGCUAAUGACCCACUUUCUCAUCAAAAUAUCCACUAUGACCAGAUUGUCCAGUGCUGUAUGAGUAGAGAUGCUGACCCUGGGCAUGGAAUUUGAGCCCUCUACUUCAAACUCAGUGUGUUUGCCUCAGAAGGUCCUUAAUUGGAUCUUAAUACCUGAAGAGAUGAUUGCUCCUACUGUGGAACACAUUUUUCCCAUUGAACAGUUACCCUCCCUUUAAAUAAAAUAACAUGUCUGA